UCAGAGAUUAAGAGCACUGACUGCU
Molecule: non-coding RNA, 25 nt
Filed under: Cricetulus griseus (Chinese hamster)
Lineage: Eukaryota; Metazoa; Chordata; Mammalia; Rodentia; Cricetidae
Source: RNAcentral